GUGAGUGGAUCUCGUUGGAGAUUCCUUUGUAGCUGAGGCCUUGUAAGGUCUUUUGUUGUCAGCCAGGAAGUUUCACUGAUACUGAAAAGCCAAAUCCAGAAGCCUCUUCUAUAUUGCCAAUCUCUUGAGCUGGAGGCAGUUGGAGACUGUAUUGCUUUAAGGUCUACAAGUGCAACACGUGAAGAAGUAGGCUGUGAGGAGUCUUCAGUCUUGUCCUGCAUCUGACUUGUAUGCAUGUAAAUGAGUUUUACAAGAAACACUAGAAAACUUUCUCUAGCCUUUUCUGCUUAUCUUUUGAGUGUCCAUAGCAUUGUCCUAUUUUAAGAACUAGCUAAGUACAUAUAUUGCCCAGGAAUUAGCUUUUGGGUAUUUAGUGGUGCUUAGUAUUUUUGAGGCCUCUGCAUUUGCCCAUAGAUCAACAAAAUGGGUACAUCAGCAAAAUUACUAGUGGGAUAACAAAAAUUUAUCCAAGAAUACCUGGAAAACAAAUCAGAUACUGGGUGAAAACAAACAAGUGUCAAUUUUUGUUGAUGAUCUAUUAUCUUAAGCACAAUAGCAGAGUUUGUGGAGUGUGAACUGAAUGAGUGGAGAAUAAAAACUUCACAUGCUAUUCUCCAUGUAAUUAAUUGGAAAUGUUGUGAAUUAGUGUUCUAUUAUGCAAGACGUUUUAAAAAUCAAUGAUGCCACAGAUGAUUCACUUAUGAGUCACUUGUAAAACCAUGAAAACCUCCAAUAAAUUUCUGAUUUAGUAAUUGUAUUUAUGAAUUAUGAUCAAACUCUCUGAACACAUGAAUAUGGUUAUCUUAAAUUAGAAGGUCAGCCACAGAUACAGUGAAGUUAUAUGAGGAAAUCUGUAUUUUCAUAUUGUUGAUUUCUCAAGACAUUUACAGAGAAAGCUGCAGUACUCCCCAUGUUUAUCUUGAUCUGAGCCUUCCCAAACUGAAUGAACUGUUACCUCAUUCAGAAGCAGCAAACCAAAGGCUUAGCAUAACAAUUAAAGCAAUCUUUUUUUCUCUAAUAAUGCAGUAUUAAUACUGAUUUAUUUCUGUGGGUAAAACAUAGGCAAACAGAUGGGACUUAAAUUGUUUCUUAAGGUCAACAGACUUCAGAGAAAUGAGAUUCAUGAAGUUUCUCUCUGCUAACAUCUGCCAAUGAAGCUUGGAAACAAGAGUAUUUCCCAGCUAAUGAUAGGACUUGAUGACAGCAGCAGCUCUCUCAAGUAGCCAUCAUUUGUACCAUUAAUGGACUUUAAUUUGGCACUUGUAAUUGUAUCUGGAACUCUAAAGUCAAGUAUACACUUACUUAACUGGUUAGGUGUCAUAAGCAUGCAGGAAACCAUACUGUGAAUAUUGUACAAUCAUGAUUUCUUCUUUACUAUUGCUUACCUACUUCGCAAUCUGGAUUGCAGAGAUUUUUUGCCCUUUAAAAUGAUGAACAAAAUGAAAGAAACUACAGGUCUGAUCUAAUUUUGAAGUCUAUAUGUCAAUAAACUUCAUGUUCAUCUGAGGAUAAGGCUUGAGUUCACAGAUUGGUACAUUCAAAAUACAAAUUCUUGGGGGAGGUGGGGAAAAAGAAACCUUAUUCUACUCCUUUGUCAUGGGAGUAGUUCUAAAUUGUAGGUGAUCUGCAUGCGAGGAGGGAACGUGAUUGUGACAGGCUCUGUGACUUACUGAGGCUGAAUCUUCAUUUUAAAAUUAAAGGUAGUCAUAAGUCAUAUGCUACAGUUGCAAUGUCUAGUAAAUACAUUGACCAAACUCUGGUUGCUUUUGAGCUCAGUGUUAGCAAGCAAAUC
Molecule: long non-coding RNA, 1792 nt
Organism: Phasianus colchicus (ring-necked pheasant)
Lineage: Eukaryota; Metazoa; Chordata; Aves; Galliformes; Phasianidae
Source: RefSeq, a predicted model, not a curated record